Molecule: ribosomal RNA, 440 nt
Filed under: uncultured bacterium
Lineage: Bacteria
Description: partial 16S ribosomal RNA
Rfam family: Bacterial small subunit ribosomal RNA
Source: RNAcentral
CCUACGGGAGGCAGCAGUGAGGAAUAUUGGUCAAUGGCCGGAAGGCUGAACCAGCCAUGCCGCGUGAGUGAAGAAGUACUUCGUUCUGUAAAGCUCUAUCAGCAGGGAAGAAAAUGACGGUACCUGAGUAAGAAGCCCCGGCUAACUACGUGCCAGCAGCCGCGGUAAUACGUAGGGGGCAAGCGUUAUCCGGAUUUACUGGGUGUAAGGGGAGCGUAGACGGUAGUGCAAGUCUGGAGUGAAAGGCGGGGGCUCAACCCCCGGACUGCUCUUGAAACUGUACGGCUGGAGUGCAGGAGAGGUAAGUGGAAGUCCUAGUGUAGCGGUGAAAUGCGUAGAUAUUAGGAGGAACACCAGUGGCGAAGGCGGCUUACUGGACUGUAACUGACGUUGAGGCUCGAAAGCGUGGGGAGCAAACAGGAUUAGAUACCCCAGUAGUC